AACUCUUCUGUGUGUUUAGAACAAGUGGUUAACGAUAUUGAGUACUAUGCGCUCUACUACGGGAGAGCAGAACGACCAACGACCCAAUAUAAUAAACUUAUUUUUGGAAUGGGGCGGAGUGCUUGAAGCUUGCUUCCCCUCCGCCACGGGCUGGCCCGGUAUCGCACUAUCUCCGGGAACGGCCCACUCACC
Small nuclear RNA from Rhipicephalus sanguineus (brown dog tick), 192 nucleotides. RefSeq annotates it as U2 spliceosomal RNA. Lineage: Eukaryota; Metazoa; Arthropoda; Arachnida; Ixodida; Ixodidae. The transcript has a single exon. The record is from RefSeq and is a predicted model, not a curated record.